This 267-nucleotide ribosomal RNA is filed under the name uncultured bacterium. Its description in RNAcentral is "partial 16S ribosomal RNA". It matches the Rfam family "Bacterial small subunit ribosomal RNA", at positions 793 to 1055 of the family's 1533-position model. The record is from RNAcentral.
GUCCUGGCAGUAAACGGUGCAUGUUUGGUGUGGGAGGAUUCGACCCCUUCCGUGCCGGAGCUAACGCGUUAAACAUGCCGCCUGGGGAGUACGGUCGCAAGAUUAAAACUCAAAGAAAUUGACGGGGGCCCGCACAAGCGGUGGAGUAUGUGGCUUAAUUCGAUGCAACGCGAAGAACCUUACCUAGCCUUGACAUGCAUCUCUAAGUCGGUGAAAGCCGGCGACUGUAGCAAUACAGAAUUUGCACAGGUGCUGCAUGGCUGUCGU